Ictalurus furcatus (blue catfish) is the source of this 2425-nucleotide long non-coding RNA. RefSeq lists it as uncharacterized. Lineage: Eukaryota; Metazoa; Chordata; Actinopteri; Siluriformes; Ictaluridae. The record is from RefSeq and is a predicted model, not a curated record. The transcript has 3 exons.
GAUAAAUAGAUGGGGAGAAAUGUGAGAUCUUAAUCAAAAUAUUUCACUCCUACUUUUAAAACGCUGCUGGUUACAUUAUAGAAUAGUGUUGCACUGUAACCAUGACAACACGCAUCAAUAAGUAGUAUCCAGGAAGUACUGCAUUGGACGUGCAGGUGGCUUGGCGAUGACGUCACCGCGUAGUUAAUUACUGCCUCCCCACGGUGUACGCGCGCGACUUUCAACACCAACUCUCAGGCCUGGAACACAGUCCGCCCCGCCCACAGCCAGAAGUGAUCUGCAUAACCCCGCCUCCAUUCCCCUGAGGUUCUGACAUGAUCCUGACUGCUCCGUACUCCACACUGAGAACACCGGAGGGUCCCUCUGCAGGAAGUAGACUCCGGUUUGGGACACGCCCUUCCCGACUCACACUUACUGCAGGAAGUAAAAGCAGAGGUGAAGAUCACAGACGAGGCAAAACACAGUGAGAGAGACAGGAAGUGAGAGGUGAGACGAGCAUUAGCGCGCCGUCACUAAGAAGCGCCGAGGCUCAGGAUCCCUGAACAUGGAGGAGGAAGCCUUCAGACACUUCUUUUCGGGGUAUGUGUGUGUGUUCGUUCAUGGCACGUCCUCCUUUUCGGAUAAUUUCAAGUAGUUUUCUUUAGGGUUAGACGUAGAGGGACAUCAUGGCUGGAGAGUUACACAGGUCAGAGUGUGUGUCCGAGACCUAACUAUCACACUAAUAAGACAGACAGAGUCAUUCAUACACACGCACACACAUAGCCACGCCCACAAAAAUACAUAUAUACAUGUUAUUUUACUACAAUUCUGUUAAAUAUAUUUGUGCCCCUUGAGAGGUAAAUCAGGGAAGGAGGGAAAGAGAGUGAACACUUGCGCACUUCAUGUGCACUUCAGAACGAGACGCAGAACCUCAGAGCACCGCUUUUCACUUCAAGGCGUCGCCCCAUCCACGUAGAGACGCCGUGAUGCGCAGGCGAGGACGUCAUCAUGUCGCUCAGGCUCAGGAGACUUUCAACGAAAUAAAAACCUAAAAGUGACGAAUGUUUUCAGUGUGAAUACAUUCCAGAGUCUGAGCAAAAACAAAUGGUGUGUGUGUGCGCGCGCAUGUGUGUAGAUCUGAGGAGGAUCCGUGGACGUUCUUCCUCGGUGUUGCUUCGUUAUCAGCUCCUGGAGGAACUGGGGAUCAGGUUUGAGCUCAGCGGCAUGGCUGAAGAAGAAGAAGAAGAAGAAGAAGAUGAUGAUGAUGAUGCGAGUGCAGAAGGUUUCACAGAGGCUUCCUCUUGUCUUGUAGGAAGGAAACACUUGCUUUUUGCAGCAUGAUAAUGGACGACCUCUUGGAAUCAUGGGUAAUGUCUUGGGCUGUCGGAGUGAGCGGAUUUGCGUGUGUGUGGAGGAAGUUCUAGUAGCAUAUUUUCCACUAAAAGUCCACUAAAUAUCUCAACCUUUUAAAUUGUUAUGGAAUCAGUUUGGCUGUUGAUAAAAUGUCCACAACGUCCUGUUACGCCUCUGAGACGUGUGUGUGUGUGUGUGUGUGUGUGUGUGUGUGUGUGUGUUUAUGUGCAUAUCAACACCGUUUAAAUCCUCACAUCGUGUCUCCAUAACAUUAUUUCUAUACAGUUUCAUAAAGUCCGUAUUAAAAUGAAAUGAAACUUUAUGAUGCCUUCUAGCAUACAGACGCUGCCUUCCAGUUUUAAGCCACGCCCCUUUAGCCAAACAACUCUGACUAACAAGAUGCCACUCUGUACAAGGCAGUCUCUCUCUCACACACACACACACUCGCACUCACACUCGGCUAUACAGCCUUUCUUUGGUCUCGAUGUCAUUAUAAACACACUGAGUGUUUGAUACUGCAUCUCUACCGACAUUUCUGUAAAGAACCAUCCGGCGAUAAUUCCUCAGCUGAACAAAAAUAAAAUGGCGGGUAUAUUUUAGACAAAAAUCUGAUGUUUCCGUCAUGUUACGUGCUGAUGGAUCAGGUUUGGGCCAAACGAUGGCAAAUAGUUCAGUCUGUAUGGAGUUUAAGAAGAAACUCCAUCGCUUACUGAAAGACAUAAACCACUGUUUCAUUUAAUUCCGUGUUCGUCGCCAUUAUUUCCUUAUAAACUACGUUUCAGUCCAUUUAUUUUAUAUCUAAUCAAACUGGUGUACUGUCAUGUCCUUAUUCUCAGUCAAAGGCUUUAAUCUCAGAUCCGAACGAAAUGAAGAGGUGUAAAGGUUCGAAAACGCUGCGGACCCGUACAGAGCCUUUACAGAACACAGCGGAGAAAGUAAAGAACGCGGAACCUUCAGAAGAAUGUCUGAGGAACCCUUUUCUAAGAGUGUGUACACUGACCUGUUUGUGUAGUGCAGUAUUAGGUUUUAAACUGAAUCUUUCCUGUCCCAAAGGCAAACAGAACUUUUAAUUACAUGGUGUUUGAUGAGCGUC